Molecule: ribosomal RNA, 2967 nt
Filed under: Rhodothermus profundi
Lineage: Bacteria; Pseudomonadati; Rhodothermota; Rhodothermia; Rhodothermales; Rhodothermaceae
Description: bacterial LSU rRNA
Rfam family: Bacterial large subunit ribosomal RNA
Source: RNAcentral
AGGGAUUAAGUAGGUAAGGGCGCAUGGUGGAUGCCUCGGCAUGGGCAGGCGAUGAAGGGCGUGGCAAGCUGCGAUAAGCCGCGGGGAGCCGCAAGCAGGCUGUGAUCCGCGGAUUCCCGAAUGGGGUAACCCGGCCGGUUGAAGACCGGUCAUCCACGGGCUGAAUCCAUAGGCCUGUGGAGGCGAACCCGGGGAACUGAAACAUCUCAGUACCCGGAGGAAAAGAAAGCAACCGCGAUUCCCUGAGUAGUGGCGAGCGAAAGGGGAACAGCCCAAACCGGCGUCGUUUCGGCGGCGCCGGGGUUGUAGGGCCCGCCAUAUGGGGUCGGAAGGUGAAGUCGAAGCGUGCUGGAAAGCCGCGCCAGAGAGGGUGAUAGCCCCGUAGGCGUAAGCCGACCGAUCUCGGCGGUGUCCCUGAGUACCACGGGACCGGUGGAAUCCUGUGGGAAGCUGCCAGCACCAUCUGGCAAGGCUAAAUACUCGCCCAUGACCGAUAGCGCACUAGUACCGUGAGGGAAAGGUGAAAAGAACGCCUAGUAGGCGAGUGAAAAGGACCUGAAACCAUGCGCCCACAACCAGUCGGAGCCUCUUGCCCUGCUUCGGCGGGGCAAUGGGGUGACGGCGUGCCUUUUGCAGAAUGAGCCUACGAGUUGCUCCUCUCUGGCAAGGCUAAGUGCCUCAGGCACGGAGCCGCAGCGAAAGCGAGUCCGAACAGGGCGUCAGAGUCAGAGGGGGCAGACGCGAAACCGGGUGAGCUACCCUUGGCCAGGUUGAAGCGUGGGUAAGACCACGUGGAGGACCGAACCGGUUGGCGUUGAAAAGCCAUCGGAUGAGCUGAGGGUAGGGGUGAAAGGCCAACCAAACCCGGAGAUAGCUCGUACUCCCCGAAAUGCAUAGAGGUGCAGCGUCGCAGCUGAGUGUGCGGGAGGUAGAGCACUGGUUGGGCUAGGGCCCUUCACCGGGUACCAAACCCAGUCAAACUCCGAAUGCCCGCACAUGCUCUGCGGCAGUGAGGGCAUGGGCGAUAAGGUCCAUGUCCGAGAGGGGGACAACCCAGACCGACAGCUAAGGCCCCGAAGUCCAGGCUAAGUUGACCAAAGGAGGUCGGGCUGCUAAGACAACCAGGAGGUUGGCUUAGAAGCAGCCAUUCCUUUAAAGAGUGCGUAACAGCUCACUGGUCGAGCGGCCCGGCGCCGAAAAUUGUCGGGCAUCAAGCCUGGCGCCGAAGCUUCGGGUUUGCAGCCUUCGGGCUGCAAGCGGUAGGGGAGCAUUCCAGUUGCGCUGAAGUCGCCUCGUGAGGGGCGGUGGAGCGACUGGAAAAGAAAAUGUAGGCAUGAGUAACGAUAAGACGGGUGAAAAACCCGUCCGCCGUAAGCCCAAGGGUUCCUGCUCAACGCUAAUCGGAGCAGGGUUAGCCGGGUCCUAAGCCGAGGCCGAAAGGCGUAGGCGAUGGGAAACGGGUUAAUAUUCCCGUGCCACCCGAAGGCGCUAACCUGAGGCGUGACGCAGGAGCGUAAGGCCCGCGCCCUGACGGAAUAGGGCGUUGAAGCCCGUAGGCUGGGUGGUAGGCAAAUCCGCCACCCGUUAAGGCCGAAAGGCGACAGUAGGGGGACCCGCAAGGGAAACCCAUAGAGGCCCCAAGCACACUGCCAAGAAAAGCGUCGCAGGUUGCCUUCGGGUGCCCGUACCGGAAACCGACACAGGUGGGCGAGGCGAGUAUCCUCAGGCGCUCGAGUGAUCCGUGGCUAAGGAACUCGGCAAAUUGGCCCCGUAACUUCGGGAGAAGGGGCGCCUCCUCCCAUCCAAAAGCGGGAGGGGGCCGCAGUGACCAGGCCCAGGCGACUGUUUAACAAAAACACAGCUCUCUGCAAACUCGUAAGAGGACGUAUAGGGAGUGACACCUGCCCGGUGCCGGAAGGUUAAGGAAGGGGGUUAUCUCGGCCUCGCGCCGGGAGAAGCUCCCGACCGAAGCCCCGGUAAACGGCGGCCGUAACUAUAACGGUCCUAAGGUAGCGAAAUUCCUUGUCGGGUAAGUUCCGACCUGCACGAAUGGUGUAACGACCUGGGCACUGUCUCGGCCACGGGCUCGGUGAAAUUGUGGUGCCAGUGAAGACGCUGGCUACCCGCCGCGGGACGGAAAGACCCCGUGCACCUUUACUGCAGCCUGGCAUUGACGCCGGCCAGGGCGUGUGCAGGAUAGGCGGGAGGCUGUGAAGCCGGGGCGCCAGCUCCGGUGGAGCCGCCCUUGAGAUACCGCCCUCGCUCUGGCUGGCGCCUAACCCACGGCCGUUAUCCGGUCGGGGGACAGUGUCAGGUGGGUGGUUUGACUGGGGCGGUCGCCUCCUAAAGAGUAACGGAGGCUCCCAAAGGUCCCCUCAGCACGGUCGGUAAUCGUGCGCAGAGUGCAAGGGCAUAAGGGGGCUUGACUGCGAGACCCACAAGUCGAGCAGGGGCGAAAGCCGGGCCUAGUGAUCCGGCGGUUCCGAAUGGAAGGGCCGUCGCUCAAAGGAUAAAAGGUACGCCGGGGAUAACAGGCUGAUCGGGGCCAAGAGUUCACAUCGACGCCCCGGUUUGGCACCUCGAUGUCGGCUCAUCGCAUCCUGGGGCUGGAGAAGGUCCCAAGGGUUGGGCUGUUCGCCCAUUAAAGCGGUACGUGAGCUGGGUUCAGAACGUCGUGAGACAGUUCGGUCCCUAUCUGCGGCGGGCGCAGGAGGCUUGAGCGGAGCUGCCCCUAGUACGAGAGGACCGGGGUGGACGGACCUCUGGUGUACCAGUUGUGCCGCCAGGUGCACCGCUGGGUAGCCAUGUCCGGACGGGAUAAGCGCUGAAAGCAUCUAAGCGCGAAGCCCACCGCAAGAUGAGGCCUCCCCUACGGGCCGUCCGAGACCAGGACGUCGAUAGGCGGCAGGUGUAAGCGGGGUAACCCGUUGAGCCGAGCCGUACUAAUCGCCCGUGCGACUUAAUCCC